ACGCUAUCUACAGGCUUAACACAUGCAAGUCGAGGGGCAGCAUGGUCUUAGCUUGCUAAGGCCGAUGGCGACCGGCGCACGGGUGAGUAACACGUAUCCAACCUGCCGUCUACUCUUGGACAGCCUUCUGAAAGGAAGAUUAAUACAAGAUGGCAUCAUGAGUCCGCAUGUUCACAUGAUUAAAGGUAUUCCGGUAGACGAUGGGGAUGCGUUCCAUUAGAUAGCAGGCGGGGUAACGGCCCACCUAGUCUUCGAUGGAUAGGGGUUCUGAGAGGAAGGUCCCCCACAUUGGAACUGAGACACGGUCCAAACUCCUACGGGAGGCAGCAGUGAGGAAUAUUGGUCAAUGGGCGAGAGCCUGAACCAGCCAAGUAGCGUGAAGGAUGACUGCCCUAUGGGUUGUAAACUUCUUUUAUAAAGGAAUAAAGUCGGGUAUGGAUACCCGUUUGCAUGUACUUUAUGAAUAAGGAUCGGCUAACUCCGUGCCAGCAGCCGCGGUAAUACGGAGGAUCCGAGCGUUAUCCGGAUUUAUUGGGUUUAAAGGGAGCGUAGAUGGAUGUUUAAGUCAGUUGUGAAAGUUUGCGGCUCAACCGUAAAAUUGCAGUUGAUACUGGAUAUCUUGAGUGCAGUUGAGGCAGGCGGAAUUCGUGGUGUAGCGGUGAAAUGCUUAGAUAUCACGAAGAACUCCGAUUGCGAAGGCAGCCUGCUAAGCUGCAACUGACAUUGAGGCUCGAAAGUGUGGGUAUCAAACAGGAUUAGAUACCCUGGUAGUCCACACGGUAAACGAUGAAUACUCGCUGUUUGCGAUAUACUGCAAGCGGCCAAGCGAAAGCGUUAAGUAUUCCACCUGGGGAGUACGCCGGCAACGGUGAAACUCAAAGGAAUUGACGGGGGCCCGCACAAGCGGAGGAACAUGUGGUUUAAUUCGAUGAUACGCGAGGAACCUUACCCGGGCUUAAAUUGCAGAUGAAUUACGGUGAAAGCCGUAAGCCGCAAGGCAUCUGUGAAGGUGCUGCAUGGUUGUCGUCAGCUCGUGCCGUGAGGUGUCAGCUUAAGUGCCAUAACGAGCGCAACCCUUGUUGUCAGUUACUAACAGGUUCCGCUGAGGACUCUGACAAGACUGCCAUCGUAAGAUGUGAGGAAGGUGGGGAUGACGUCAAAUCAGCACGGCCCUUACGUCCGGGGCUACACACGUGUUACAAUGGGGGGUACAGAGGGCCGCUACCACGCGAGUGGAUGCCAAUCCCCAAAACCUCUCUCAGUUCGGACUGGAGUCUGCAACCCGACUCCACGAAGCUGGAUUCGCUAGUAAUCGCGCAUCAGCCACGGCGCGGUGAAUACGUUCCCGGGCCUUGUACACACCGCCCGUCAAGCCAUGGGAGCCGGGGGUACCUGAAGUGCGUAACCGCGAGGAGCGCCCUAGGGUAAAACUGGUGACUGGGGCUAAG
This 1448-nucleotide ribosomal RNA is filed under the name uncultured organism. RNAcentral's name for it is "SSU rRNA". It matches the Rfam family "Bacterial small subunit ribosomal RNA". The record is from RNAcentral.